Molecule: unclassified non-coding RNA, 237 nt
Filed under: uncultured fungus
Lineage: Eukaryota; Fungi
Description: sequence contains ITS1, 5.8S rRNA gene
Rfam family: 5.8S ribosomal RNA (bases 189-237)
Source: RNAcentral
UUUCCGUAGGUGAACCUGCGGAAGGAUCAUUAACAAAUCAAGGAUUGUGUGUGGGUUUUGCAUACUAUGUGUGUGCAAGGUCUCAUGCAUGAUACACAUUUGUGCUCCAAGUUCGUCUUGGGUGCAUUUAAAAAAUAUUCAUGAUAUUAUUGUAUUAGUGUGUUUUGUAAAACAAGAAAAUCUAUAAAUACUUUUAACAAUGGAUCUCUUGGCUCUUGCAUCGAUGAAGAACGCAGC